RNAcentral lists this long non-coding RNA (660 nucleotides) under Ananas comosus (pineapple). RNAcentral describes it as "long non-coding RNA (ACOM_LNC022438)". The record is from RNAcentral. Lineage: Eukaryota; Viridiplantae; Streptophyta; Magnoliopsida; Poales; Bromeliaceae.
UACGUAAUUAAUUAUUUCGAUUCUAAAUUUUUUUUUAUAUAAUUAAUUUUUAUUAAGAUUUAUUUUGGUAUCGAGGUCAGUCUGUUGGAAGCGUGAUUUCCUCUUAUACCAACUGUCGAAACCGGUAUUUGUACUGGUACCGAUUAUAUAUAACCCAAAAUCUAAAAUCAAACAAAAUAAUAUGAAAAAGAGAUAUUGGAGGAGGAGGAAAAUAACUAAACUAAUAAGCAAUUAAUUACAUUCUAUAAACUCCCAUGCAGUCGUGUCUAUUAUGACUUAUUCAUCUAAUUAACCCAUGCCUAACUAUAUAUAGCUACCAAAUCGAUGAUAAAUCCAACUUUUACUUUGGAUAAGUACAUAUCCUAACCAUAAUCAAAUAAGAGAUUUAAACUUAUCUGUAAUGAUAUUUUAAUUAAGUUUGGAUUAUUAUUUCCGACACGGUCUAACGUUAUUAGAUAAAAUGGAAGGUAAUUUCAUCGCAACCCCAAACAAUACCUAAAAUUUGCAUAGUAUUUCGCUGAGUUUAGAUAGAAAGCUAUUUCUUUAAAGUGAGUUUGUAAAACUAUUUAGCAAAAACUUUUUGAUAUUCGCAAAUAAUAUUUUUUAACUAAAUUUUAUUUUAAAAGAAUUUAAAAUUUGAAUUUAAAUUUAAAUUUUAAA